AAUGAACGCUGGCGGCAGGCUUAACACAUGCAAGUCGAGCGGGGUGAUGGUGCUUGCACUAUCACUUAGCGGCGGACGGGUGAGUAAUGCUUAGGAAUCUGCCUAUUAGUGGGGGACAACAUCUCGAAAGGGAUGCUAAUACCGCAUACGUCCUACGGGAGAAAGCAGGGGAUCACUUGUGACCUUGCGCUAAUAGAUGAGCCUAAGUCGGAUUAGCUAGUUGGUGGGGUAAAGGCCUACCAAGGCGACGAUCUGUAGCGGGUCUGAGAGGAUGAUCCGCCACACUGGGGCUGGGAGACGGCCCAGACUCCUACGGGAGGCAGCAGUGGGGAAUAUUGGACAAUGGGGGGAACCCUGAUCCAGCCAUGCCGCGUGUGUGAAGAAGGCCUUAUGGUUGUAAAGCACUUUAAGCGAGGAGGAGGCUCUUUUGGUUAAUACCCAAGAUGAGUGGACGUUACUCGCAGAAUAAGCACCGGCUAACUCUGUGCCAGCCGCCGCAGUAA
Molecule: ribosomal RNA, 503 nt
Filed under: uncultured bacterium
Lineage: Bacteria
Description: partial 16S ribosomal RNA
Rfam family: Bacterial small subunit ribosomal RNA
Source: RNAcentral